UAAUUAGUUAUGUGCCGGACUUUUCUGCCUUACAAGCAGAGGGUCGGCGGUUCGAAUCCGUCAACGCCCA
RNAcentral lists this transfer RNA (70 nucleotides) under Caudoviricetes sp. RNAcentral's name for it is "tRNA-Val". The record is from RNAcentral. Lineage: Duplodnaviria; Heunggongvirae; Uroviricota; Caudoviricetes.